CCUAGUUAAUUCUACUAGUAGUUAUAUACUUAUCUCAAAGAUUAAGCUAUACAUAUCUAAGUAUAAGUAACUAUACUAUAAAACUACUAUAUACUACUUAUACUAUANAAUUCUAGAGCUAAUAUAUACGAAAAACCUCGACUUCGGAAGGGAUAUAUUUAUUAGAUAAAAAACUAAUACCCUCCGGGGCUUCCUAGUAAUUUAUAAUAACUUAACGAAUCGUAUAGCCUUACGCCGGCGAUAGUUUAUUCAAAUUUCUACCCUAUAAACUUUCGAUUGUAGAGUAGUAGUCUAUAAUAGUUUCAACGGGUAACGGGGAAUUAGGGUUCGACUCCGGAGAGGGAGCCUAAGAAAUAGCUACUAUAUCUAAGAAAGGUAGUAGGCGCGCAAAUUACCCAGUCCCGAUACGGGGAGGUAGUAAUAAUAAAUACUAAUAUAGGGCUCUUUUAGGUCUUAUAAUUAGAAUAAGUACAAUUUAAAUCCCUUAACGAGGAAUAACUAGAGGGUAAGUCUAGUACUAGUAGCCGCGGUAAUUCCAGCUCUAGAAGCGUAUAUUAAAGUUAUUAUAGUUAAAAAGCUCGUAGUUGAAUUUUAGGCCUAGCUAGCCGGUCCGCCUUACUACGUAUACUAGUCCGGCCGAGCCUUUUCUCCUAGGGAUCCGCAUGCCCUUUACUAGGUAUAUUGGGGAACUAGGACUUUUACUUUGAAAAAAUUAGAGUAUUCAAAGUAGGCCUUUACUCGAAUAUAUUAGUAUAGAAUAAUAGAAUAGGACGGCUUUCCUAUUUUAUUAGUUUCUAGGGAAGCCGUAAUAAUUAAUAGGGAUAGUCGGGGGUAUUAGUAUUCAAUUAUUAGAGGUGAAAUUCUUGGAUUUAUUAAAGACUAACUACUACGAAAGUAUUUGCCAAGGAUAUUUUCAUUAAUUAGUAAACGAAAGUUAGGGGAUCGAAGACGAUUAGAUACUAUUAUAGUCUUAACUAUAAACUAUACCGACUAGGGAUCGGGCGAUAUUACUAUCUUAACUCGCUCGGUACCUUACGAGAAAUUAAAGUUUUUAGGUUCUAGGGGGAGUAUAGUCGCAAGGCUAAAACUUAAAGAAAUUAACGGAAGAGUACUACUAGGAGUUAACUUACUUACCGCGAGCUCUACGCCUAAUAGCACGACCUAAUAGGUAGUAGUAUCCCUUGAAACGAUGCUAGUCCCCCUUCUAGGAGGGGGGUAAUACGCUUAAACUACGGGGACCUCUAAGCCUUACCGUCCCAAGCCUACGCCUAACCGUACGGGUAGCCGAGCCCAAUAGCUCGGGUAGGGGAAAAACCGGGAGAGUAGACGAUCCGUAUCCAAGCCCCUAGAUACUACUAGGGGAAGGUUUAGAGACUAGAUAAGCGUAGGUUGGCGCAGCGCCGAUUUAAGAUAUAGUCCGUAGUUCGGAGGGUAAUCUCCGUUCUAAUCCCUAAAUAACGGGGAAACUUACUAGGUCUAGAUAUAAGUAGGAUUGAUAGAUUGAGAGCUCUUUCUUAAUUUUAUAGUUAGUAGUAUAUAGCCGUUCUUAGUUAGUAGAGUAAUUUAUCUACUUAAUUAUAAUAACGAACGAGACCUUAAUCUACUAAAUAGCCCGGCUCGCUUUAGCGGGUCGCUAGCUUCUUAGAGGGACUAUCGGCUUAAGCCGAUAGAAGUUUAAGGUAAUAAUAGGUUAACCUUUAGUUAUUAUAACUUAUAGGCCUAUAAAAGGGGGGGCG
Molecule: ribosomal RNA, 1736 nt
Filed under: Venturia inaequalis
Lineage: Eukaryota; Fungi; Ascomycota; Dothideomycetes; Venturiales; Venturiaceae
Description: SSU rRNA
Rfam family: Eukaryotic small subunit ribosomal RNA
Source: RNAcentral